AGACAGUUACACGAUAGCCCUCUUUUCCCACUCGUACGGGCUCUUCUGGGCCGAUCCAAAACCAGGCGAAGACCGGCCUGGUUAGAGAUAUGAUCACCAAAGAACACUGAGCUGGAUGAAGAGAACACAGUGGUAAAUCUCGUAGUAGGUGUAUGGUUUAGUUUUGAAGCAACUGCGGCAGUUGAAAUGGUCGUCAUUUCAGCCAAAAACCUUCUGCGUUAGAUUUGAUGGGUUUUUGCAAAAUUGAUAUCAGAAAAUGUAAUUCGCGCAAGAACUUGGUUGGUAGUGAGUCAGUAGUUGGAGUAAUCGACUGAUUUUCUAAGCUCUCACACCGGUACAGAUAAACGGGUCGGAUCUAAGGCCCAAAUUCAAAGUUAGGAUCCUAAUAUCCAAUCAUAUUAUUCAGCCGGGCAGAAGAAAUACCCUUCCCUUGAUUAGAAUGAACUUGCACAAAAAGGAAGGAAAGCAGAAAAAAAGUAAAUAGUGCAUCAAGAAGUAAAGUUUUGGCAAUCCAAUGAUCAGCAAUGGAAGCUCAGAUAGAAGCAAUUCACACGAACAAAAUCCACUCUGAUAAUUUAAUUGAAAAUUGGUAACUUCUCAGAAAUAAACCUAACUUUUUUUUUUCAUAAAUAUAUUUCCCGUAAAGAUUAUCUCUUUUCCGUUUUCCAUGAUUUCCUUUAACAGAUACCACACCAAAUUCUAGAAUGUUGAAACAGGGAAAAGAAUUCUCAUAUUUUUACCCAAUUAGUAUUAGGAAAUCCUACCAGUAUUCUUUCAAAAACGACUCAAACGACACGGUCAAUAUCCAAAAUAGGCGAACUACGACACGAAACAAGAUAAUAUCACAAAGUCAAAUCAUAAGUAUAUUUAUAAAUAAAAGCAAGAAAGCUAAACGAUGAGCUUAAUAGAAACACAGAAGGAACCUGUUGGAAGCUCUUAACAGUCUUGCCAAUACUCCGGCCAACUUCUGGCAACUUCUUGGGCCCGAAAACCAGCGCAACGACGCCGGCAAUUACCACCAGCUCCGGCACUCCGAGCCCAAAAAGACAGUUACACGAUAGCCCUCUUUUCCCACUCGUACGGGCUCUUCUGGGCCGAUCCAAAACCAGGCGAAGACCGGCCUGGUUAGAGAUAUGAUCACCAAAGAACAGUGAGCUGGAUGAAGAGAACACAGUGGUAAAUCUCGUAGUAGGUGUAUGGUUUAGUUUUGAAGCAACUGCGGCAGUUGAAAUGGUCGUCAUUUCAGCCAAAAACCUUCUGCGUUAGAUUUGAUGGGUUUUUGCAAAAUUGAUAUCAGAAAAUGUAAUUCGCGCAAGAACUUGGUUGGUAGUGAGUCAG
RNAcentral lists this long non-coding RNA (1338 nucleotides) under Olea europaea (common olive). RNAcentral describes it as "long non-coding RNA (OEUR_LNC001103)". The record is from RNAcentral. Lineage: Eukaryota; Viridiplantae; Streptophyta; Magnoliopsida; Lamiales; Oleaceae.